Molecule: long non-coding RNA, 1046 nt
Filed under: Balaenoptera musculus (blue whale)
Lineage: Eukaryota; Metazoa; Chordata; Mammalia; Artiodactyla; Balaenopteridae
Description: lncRNA (ENSBMSG00010011966.1)
Source: RNAcentral
GAAAACCACAAACCGUCUCAGCUGCCCCCUAUAUAAACCUACAGCAAGACUCCCUCCAGCUCUGUGAAGUGUGUUCUAUCAAAUAGGAGCUCUGAAAUCAGACUGCCUGGGUUCAAAUCUUGCCACUGUUACUUAAGAGUGACCUUGAGCUGGGUAAUUAGUUGCUCUGUGCCUCAGUGUCCCCACUUCAGAACACAGGGCUGGUGUGCUAAUUAAAUAACACAUGUCAAUCACUUUAGCACAGCGCCUGGCACAUAGUAAGCCCUCAAUAAAUAAGUGAUAGCUACCAUCAUGAUGAGCUGCUACAAUGUAAGCGAGGCAAACACCAGAUGCAAGGGUUGUGUCCGCUCCGCGUCCAGGUCCCUCCCAGUUCUGAGCGAUCCCGAGGGGCGUGGGGGAUGGGAGCUCAGAGCCCGGCUGCAAACCCUGCACGCAUGUGUCACUGUCGGGCUCGGCACGCGCCUCUCCCCGCCCUGGGGAGAAGCGAUGGCUCAGCAGUCCCGGGCCCGCUCCCACCGCUCAGACCCGGCACCCGGGAGAGAAGGGGCUCCGACCCCACUUACCAUGCUGGCCGGGGAAGAGGGCGGCUCAGGCCUUGAUGACUUCAGCUGAAGAAGGAUGCAGAAGGAAGGGACUAGCAAAGGGAUUUCCCCUUGCAUAAAGGAAGACCUCAGCCUGGCACCUUCCUCUGGAGCAGUCAGGAACCUGCCCAACGUAUCAUGACACACCUGUAGAAGCCCUCUAGUAGACAAGUCUGGAUUUUCCUCAAACACUCAGUGAAUGAUGGCCUCUGCUGCCCAAAAAGGGGGCCAAGGAAGUGUGGUGGGUCCCAAGGUUGACAAUAGUUGGUGGACUAUCUCCACUCUUCAGCCUGCUUGAAGAACCAAGAUUUUCCACUCAGUAGUCCUCAGCAGAAUUUACUUACCUAUGUGACUCACUUUGAAACAUAGAGCCUGGCAUGGGGACCACCAGGACAGAACUGCUGGCUGGGUGUGGGCUGAGCGUGUUGGAGGGUGGUUAGGAAUACUCUUGCAUCCACAUGGCCC